This 460-nucleotide ribosomal RNA is filed under the name uncultured bacterium. Its description in RNAcentral is "partial 16S ribosomal RNA". It matches the Rfam family "Bacterial small subunit ribosomal RNA", at positions 338 to 795 of the family's 1533-position model. The record is from RNAcentral.
CCUACGGGAGGCAGCAGUGAGGAAUAUUGGUCAAUGGACGAGAGUCUGAACCAGCCAAGUAGCGUGAAGGAUGACUGCCCUAUGGGUUGUAAACUUCUUUUAUAUGGGAAUAAAAUGUUCCACGUGUGGGUUUUUGUAUGUAUCAUAUGAAUAAGGAUCGGCUAACUCCGUGCCAGCAGCCGCGGUAAUACGGAGGAUCCGAGCGUUAUCCGGAUUUAUUGGGUUUAAAGGGAGCGUAGGUGGAUGGUUAAGUCAGUGGUGAAAGUUUGCGGCUCAACCGUAAAAUUGCAGUUGAAACUGGCAGUCUUGAGUACAGUAGAGGUGGGCGGAAUUCGUGGUGUAGCGGUGAAAUGCUUAGAUAUCACGAAGAACUCCGAUUGCGAAGGCAGCUCACUGGACUGCAACUGACACUGAGGCUCGAAAGUGUGGGUAUCAAACAGGAUUAGAUACCCCGGUAGUC